GAGACAGAGAGAGAGGUGUUUUUGUUUUUUGGUGCAGAGGCUUCAAAAGGAAUUGUCGUGUGUCUGGAUAAUAACGUGUAAGCACUUGAUCUGGUCAGGGUCACGGCCUAUCCCAGGAACACUAGGCAUGAGGAAGGAAUACAGCCUGGAGGGUGAGCCCAGGAUUGAACCAGGGACUCUGGAGAUGUGAGUUGGCAACACUGUGCCAACGGUGUAAUAUUUUAAAUGCAUAAAUGUGAUGUAAUAUUUUAAAUGUAGAAAUAUUUACCUUGCAGAAUAUUUGCACCAAACCCUGCCUGUGUCCUACAUGCUUUCUUGUCAUCUUUCUUGUAGCGUUACUUAUGAUCCUGGGUUUGCCUCCUACUCUGCCAGAUUUUUAAAAAUAAACAAACAGUUCCGGAAAUUCUACAGGAAUCCCUACAGGAAUAUAUAUAUAUAUAU
Molecule: long non-coding RNA, 441 nt
Organism: Ictalurus punctatus (channel catfish)
Lineage: Eukaryota; Metazoa; Chordata; Actinopteri; Siluriformes; Ictaluridae
Source: Ensembl